RNAcentral lists this ribosomal RNA (337 nucleotides) under Physarum album. Its description in RNAcentral is "SSU rRNA". It matches the Rfam family "Eukaryotic small subunit ribosomal RNA", at positions 105 to 398 of the family's 1831-position model. Lineage: Eukaryota; Evosea; Eumycetozoa; Physariida; Physaraceae. The record is from RNAcentral.
AUCGUCCGGGUUUACUCCCGGGUGAAAACAUGCAGGGGCAAUAAGGAUACCCCCGGUAAUUCUGAGGCUAAUACUUGCUCGUGACACCCGAUGAAGGGCCCCUUCACGGGGGCCCCCUUCGGGGGUUGUGUGCGUAUAUUUUGACAAAUGGGGUUUUCCGGGAAAGGGCGCACAAUCUAACCGUGACAUAAUGUUUUCUCUAAUGUCCCGGCUUCGGCCGGGUCAUCACGGGUCUCGCAUUGCGCUUCUGACCUAUCAGCUCUUUAGCCGUGUAACGGACAAGCCAAGGCGACAACGGGUACAGAGGAUUAGGGUUUGAUCCUGGAGAGUGGGCCUG